Molecule: ribosomal RNA, 450 nt
Filed under: uncultured bacterium
Lineage: Bacteria
Description: partial 16S ribosomal RNA
Rfam family: Bacterial small subunit ribosomal RNA
Source: RNAcentral
GUGGGGAAUCUUCCGCAAUGGACGAAAGUCUGACGGAGCAACGCCGCGUGAGUGAUGAAGGUCUUCGGAUUGUAAAGCUCUGUUAAUCGGGACGAAAGAGCCUAGUGUGAAUAAUGCUAGGAAGUGACGGUACCGGAAUAGAAAGCCACGGCUAACUACGUGCCAGCAGCCGCGGUAAUACGUAGGUGGCAAGCGUUGUCCGGAAUUAUUGGGCGUAAAGCGCGCGCAGGCGGAUCUGCCAGUCUGUCUUAAAAGUUCGGGGCUUAACCCCGUGAUGGGAUGGAAACUACAGAGCUAGAGUAUCGGAGAGGAAAGUGGAAUUCCGAGGGUAGCGGUGAAAUGCGUAGAUAUUAGGAAGAACACCAGUGGCGAAGGCGACUUUCUGGACGAAAACUGACGCUGAGGCGCGAAAGCCAGGGGAGCGAACGGGAUUAGAUACCCCGGUAGUCC